Molecule: transfer RNA, 73 nt
Filed under: Camelus bactrianus (Bactrian camel)
Lineage: Eukaryota; Metazoa; Chordata; Mammalia; Artiodactyla; Camelidae
Also listed under: 2 other names
Rfam family: tRNA
About the family: Transfer RNA (tRNA) molecules are approximately 80 nucleotides in length.
Source: Rfam by way of RNAcentral
GAGGGUAUAGCUCAAGAAGUAGAGCACAUGCUUAGCAUGCACGAGGUCCUGGGUUCAAUCCACAGUACCUCCC